Molecule: unclassified non-coding RNA, 148 nt
Organism: Papio anubis (olive baboon)
Lineage: Eukaryota; Metazoa; Chordata; Mammalia; Primates; Cercopithecidae
Rfam family: Metazoan signal recognition particle RNA
About the family: The signal recognition particle (SRP) is a universally conserved ribonucleoprotein. It is involved in the co-translational targeting of proteins to membranes.
Source: Ensembl
GGUGGGUGUGGUGGUGCACACCUGUGGUCCCAGCUACUCUGGAGGCUGAGAUGGGAGGAUCACUUGAGCCCAGGAGGUCAAGGCUGCAGUGAGCCAUGAUUGCACCACUGCACUCCAGCCUGGGCAACAGAGUGAGACCCCGUCUCAA